GAACAAUGAAGAAUGUUCACCGGAUGAAGAAGAGGUUUACCACAUGAUGUUCUUACAGAAGGAGAGAAUCUUCCUGAAGUGGAGAACUGAAGAAAUAAAAUGUGGGUUACCGGGGAUGGGAUAUUUGAACCGUGGACAGGCAAAGACACAUCAGUGAGAUAAAUAGUAUGAAAUGUUAUUUAUGCCCAGAUACCAAUGUAGACCCAAAGAGUUAGUUUUUGCAAAUCAAGUGAGCUCCUCUUCUUUAUCCAGGAACUGCUGCCCUUCCAGACUCAGCUAGUCAUUCUUCUGAAGACUUUUCCAGGAACUGCUGCCCUUCCAGACUCAGCUAGUCAUUCUUUUGAAGACUUUUCUUGCCCUUCUCCUUCUUACACAGAACAAAGGAUAAAUUAGAUAAAGUUAAAAAAAUAAAACAAAGUGAGGAAGGC
RNAcentral lists this long non-coding RNA (428 nucleotides) under Dasypus novemcinctus (nine-banded armadillo). Its description in RNAcentral is "lncRNA (ENSDNOG00000050619.1)". The record is from RNAcentral. Lineage: Eukaryota; Metazoa; Chordata; Mammalia; Cingulata; Dasypodidae.